RNAcentral lists this ribosomal RNA (563 nucleotides) under uncultured bacterium. RNAcentral describes it as "bacterial SSU rRNA". It matches the Rfam family "Bacterial small subunit ribosomal RNA", at positions 102 to 674 of the family's 1533-position model. The record is from RNAcentral.
ACGGGGUAGGAGCGCGUAGGUAACGUACCCUCGGGACGAGGAUAGCCACGGGAAACUGUGGGUAAUACUCGAUAACGUCGAGAGACCAAAGGUGUGAUUCCACCUGAGGAGCGGUCUGCGUAGUAUUAGCUUGUUGGUGAGGUAACGGCUCACCAAGGCGAAGAUGCUUGGGGGGUGUGAGAGCAUGGCCCCCACCACUGGGACUGAGAUACUGCCCAGACACCUACGGGUGGCUGCAGUCGAGAAUCUUCGGCAAUGGGCGAAAGCCUGACCGAGCGACGCCGCGUGUGGGAUGAAGGCCCUUGGGUUGUAAACCACUGUCAGAGGGGAUGAAGUGCAUGGGGGUUCUCCCCUGUGUUUGACAUAGCCUCAGAGGAAGCACGGGCUAAGUUCGUGCCAGCAGCCGCGGUAAUACGAACUGUGCAAACGUUAUUCGGAAUCACUGGGCUUAAAGGGUGCGUAGGCGGUUUGUUAAGUAGGGUGUGAAAGCCCCCGGCUCAACCGGGGAAUUGCGCCCUAAACUGGCGGACUAGAGUGAGAUAGGGGUGUGCGGAACUUCCGGU